ACAACCAUACCAUGCUGAAUAUACCGGUUCUCGUUAGAUCACCGAAGUCAAGCAUCAUUGGGCGCGGUCAGUACUUGGGUGGGUGACCACCUGGAAACACCGCGUGCCGUUG
Molecule: ribosomal RNA, 112 nt
Filed under: Caerostris darwini
Lineage: Eukaryota; Metazoa; Arthropoda; Arachnida; Araneae; Araneidae
Source: RNAcentral